Molecule: unclassified non-coding RNA, 395 nt
Filed under: fungal sp.
Lineage: Eukaryota; Fungi
Description: partial internal transcribed spacer region
Rfam family: Eukaryotic small subunit ribosomal RNA (bases 1-46)
Source: RNAcentral
AAGUCGUAACAAGGUCUCCGUAGGUGAACCUGCGGAGGGAUCAUUAACACGUUUCUAACGUUACCAACCAAACGCGAACCGAAGCGAAAAGCGUAAAAAACUUAGUAGCUUCAAUCGACCUGAAAGAAAGUAAUCGUUUAGUUUCACUCGUGAUGGGCGAAAUUUUGACUGGCGCAAGCUGGAAGAAAAAGUAGCGGUGAAAUUGAACUUACAUAGCUCGACUAUGAAGGUUACUUUCUAUCAGGUUAAACCCUAUUUCUUUUCAUCACAGGAAAGCCAAAAACCAAUUUCACCCCCUAUGUUAAUUGACUGAAUCACAUUGAAUGGGAGAAAUCCUGUCUAAUGUCUAAACAAAACAAAAAGCACAACUCUUAGCAACGGAUAUCUAGGUUCUC